This 73-nucleotide transfer RNA is filed under the name Caudoviricetes sp. Its description in RNAcentral is "tRNA-Trp". It matches the Rfam family "tRNA". Rfam says of the family: Transfer RNA (tRNA) molecules are approximately 80 nucleotides in length. Their secondary structure includes four short double-helical elements and three loops (D, anti-codon, and T loops). Further hydrogen bonds mediate the characteristic L-shaped molecular structure. tRNAs have two regions of fundamental functional importance: the anti-codon, which is responsible for specific mRNA codon recognition, and the 3' end, to which the tRNAs corresponding amino acid is attached (by aminoacyl-tRNA synthetases). tRNAs cope with the degeneracy of the genetic code in two manners: having more than one tRNA (with a specific anti-codon) for a particular amino acid; and 'wobble' base-pairing, i.e. permitting non-standard base-pairing at the 3rd anti-codon position. Lineage: Duplodnaviria; Heunggongvirae; Uroviricota; Caudoviricetes. The record is from RNAcentral.
AUGGGUGUAGCUCAGUUGGUAGAGCGCCGGUCUCCAAAACCGGAAGUCGGAGGUUCAAGUCCUUCCGCCUAUG